UAAGGGAUAUUGCGCAAUGGGCGAAAGCCUGACGCAGCAACGCCGCGUGGAGGAUGAAGGCCUUCGGGUUGUAAACUUCUUUUAGCAGGGACGAGGAAGGACGGUACCUGCGGAAUCAGUCACGGCUAACUACGUGCCAGCAGCCGCGGUAAGACGUAGGUGGCAAGCGUUAUCCGGAUUUACUGGGCGUAAAGGGUGUGCAGGCGGGGUUGCAAGUGGUGUAUGAAAUCUCCCGGCUUAACCGGGAUGGGUUAUGCCAGACUGCAAUUCUAGAGGACGAGAGAGGGGGGUGGAAUUCCGGGUGUAGUGGUGAAAUGCGUAGAGAUCCGGAGGAACCCCAGAGGCGAAGGCGGCCCCCUGGCUCGUUUCUGACGCUCAGCCACGAAAGCAUGGGGAGCGAAC
RNAcentral lists this ribosomal RNA (402 nucleotides) under uncultured bacterium. RNAcentral describes it as "bacterial SSU rRNA". It matches the Rfam family "Bacterial small subunit ribosomal RNA", at positions 355 to 773 of the family's 1533-position model. The record is from RNAcentral.